UGCGCAGGCGGUGAUGUAUGUCAGGUGUGAAAUCCCGGGGCUUAACUCCGGAAGUGCGCCUGAAACUGCAUUACUAGAGGCUUGGAGGGGACAGCAGAAUUUCUGGUGUAGCGGUGAAAUGCGUAGAUAUCAGAAGGAAUACCAAUGGCGAAGGCAGCUGUCUGGACAAGAUCUGACGCUCAUGCACGAAAGCGUGGGGAGCAAAAG
Molecule: ribosomal RNA, 207 nt
Filed under: uncultured bacterium
Lineage: Bacteria
Description: partial 16S ribosomal RNA
Rfam family: Bacterial small subunit ribosomal RNA
Source: RNAcentral